Oncorhynchus tshawytscha (Chinook salmon) is the source of this 1969-nucleotide long non-coding RNA. NCBI's taxonomy places the organism in Eukaryota, Metazoa, Chordata, Actinopteri, Salmoniformes, Salmonidae. The record is from Ensembl.
AUCAUUGUGAAACACAGCUACCAGUGCAUUUCCCAUAAUAUAGAGCCAAGUCUUGGUUUUGUCAUCGUCUUCCACCCUUUCUGAACAUGUCUGAGACAAUAAGAUAGGUUGCCGAGCAACUACCCAUUGAGUACAUAUAUACAUUUUUUUUUACACUAUGAGGUUGGAAUUGUACUGUGAAAAUGAUGAUAAUGCCCUGUUAGUGUACAAGUUGUUUGAAAAGCCGCUGGAAAUGUCUGCUUGUUUUGUCGGGAUGGAGUUUUGGCCUGCCUGGUGACAUCAGGGGCAGCUGAGGAUGCAACUAGUGAGGUCCGGCCACCCGACAUCCCACCCGCCCGCUUGACCCCAUCCCUUCCUCCCUUCUCCAGACCACCUACCAUUACUCACUUCCCGUGACCAUUGGCUGCGUCCCCUCUGACUUCAAAAUGUCCCAAGUCGCUCACCUCAAUAAACUAACACUUGACCCCUCUAAACUACAGACCGGUAUUCCUUAUUUCUUAUUUUCACCACCUCAUACUCAACCUCGACAAGACACAGCUGCUCUUCCUCCCGAGGAAGGCCUGCCCACUGCAAGACCUCUCCAUCAUGGUUGACAACUCCAUGGGGUCUCCCUCCCAGAGUGCGAAGAAACUUGGUGUGACCCUGGACAACACUCUUUCAUUCUCUACAACAUCCAUAGAGUUUGACCCUACCUCACACAGGAAGUGGCACAGGUCCUAAUCCAGGCCAUUGUCAUCUCCCAUAUGGACUACUGCAACUUGCUGUUGGCUGGGCUCCCCGCUUGUGCCAUCAAACCGCUGCAACUUAUCCAGAAUGCUGCAAUCUGCCUUAAGUUCAACCUUCCCCAAGUUAUCCUAUGUCACCCCGGUCCUCCUCACACUUGAAGCUCGCAUCCACUACAAGACCAUGGUACUAGCCUACAGAGCAGCAAGAGGAACUGCCCCUCCCUAUCUUCAGGCUAUGCUCAAACCCUACACCACAAUCCGAGUACAGGAGGGCAGCUCCCAAUCAGCCCAGGCCAAGCUCUUCCCAGUCCUGGCACACUAAUUGUGGAACCAGCUUUCCCCUGAAGCUAGGACAGCAGAGUCCCUGCCUAUCUUCAGAAAACUUACACUUUACUUUUUUCCACCUUACUAGCUCUAACUUUGCAAAUAGCUACUUUGAGUAAAAUGUACUUACUAUGACUGGGAUAUGUGGUUUUCCUACCUAGUGCAUUCAUCUUCAGAUAGCUAACUGGAUAAGAGCUUCUGCUAAAUUACUCAAAAUGUUAAUGUAACGACAACUAGCUUUCAUUCCUGAAGGACCUCUCUUAGCCCCUUUAUGUUGUUGUCUAUCACUUCAAUGUAAGAGUCUGUAGCCGACUAACAGCUUCCAAGUCUAGACAAUGUACUUUGCUUAAGAUGAAGCUGUUGCUAGUCCAUCCUGUGAGAUGGAUAUUGGGUUGUUAUUUUACCUGACGUGCAUAUGGACACCUUUACAUUUUUUUUCAUAUAACCUUUUAACUAGGCAAGUCAGUUAAGAACAAAUUCGUAUUUGCAGUGACAGCCUAUCAACAGUGGGUUAACUGCCUUGCUGUCACGCCCUGACCUUAGAGAUCCUUAUUCUUCUCUGUUUGGUUAGGUCAGGGUGUGACUCGGAUGGGAAAUUCUAUGUUUUUUGUUUCUUUGUUUUUGGCCGAGUGUGGUUCCCAAUCACAGGCAGCUGUCUAUCGUUGUCUCUGAUUGGGGAUCAUACUUAGGCAGCCCUUUUUCCCACCAUUAGGUUGUGGGAUCUUGUUUUCUGUUUAGUUACCGUUGCCUGACAGAACUGUGCAUUUUCAUUUUCGGUAUUUUGUACAAGUGUUUUGUUGAAUUAAAAUCAUGAACACUUUCCACGCUGCGCCUUGGUCUACUCUUUCUACCACCAUCGAGAGCCGUUACACUUGCUCAGCUCAGGGUAAAUUGUGUGUUUCUCUACUCCAAUGAUUAAU